Molecule: ribosomal RNA, 207 nt
Filed under: uncultured bacterium
Lineage: Bacteria
Description: partial 16S ribosomal RNA
Rfam family: Bacterial small subunit ribosomal RNA
Source: RNAcentral
CGCGUAGGCGGCUUGGUCAGUCGGAUGUGAAAGCCCCGGGCUUAACCUGGGAAUUGCAUUCGAUACUGCCAGGCUAGAAUGUAGUAGAGGGAAGUGGAAUUCCAGGUGUAGCGGUGAAAUGCGUAGAUAUCUGGAGGAACAUCAGUGGCGAAGGCGACUUCCUGGACUAACAUUGACGCUGAGGUGCGAAAGCGUGGGGAGCAAACA